RNAcentral lists this ribosomal RNA (497 nucleotides) under uncultured bacterium. RNAcentral's name for it is "partial 16S ribosomal RNA". It matches the Rfam family "Bacterial small subunit ribosomal RNA", at positions 28 to 507 of the family's 1533-position model. The record is from RNAcentral.
GACGAACGCUGGCGGCGUGCCUAAUACAUGCAAGUAGAACGCUGAAGAGAGGAGCUUGCUCUUCUUGGAUGAGUUGCGAACGGGUGAGUAACGCGUAGGUAACCUGCCUUGUAGCGGGGGAUAACUAUUGGAAACGAUAGCUAAUACCGCAUAACAAUGGAUGACCCAUGUCAUUUAUUUGAAAGGGGCAAAUGCUCCACUACAAGAUGGACCUGCGUUGUAUUAGCUAGUAGGUGAGGUAACGGCUCACCUAGGCGACGAUACAUAGCCGACCUGAGAGGGUGAUCGGCCACACUGGGACUGGGACACGGCCCAGACUCCUACGGGAGGCAGCAGUAGGGAAUCUUCGGCAAUGGGGGCAACCCUGACCGAGCAACGCCGCGGGAGUGAAGAAGGGUUUCGGAUCGUAAAGCUCUGUUGUAAGUCAAGAACGAGUGUGAGAGUGGAAAGUUCACACUGUGACGGUAGCUUACCAGAAAGGGACGGCUAACUACGUG